CACUCCGCCAUUCUCAAUCUCACUCAAUAGAAAUUUUUACCUUUUUUGUUUGUUUUCCGAAUUAGUUGGUCUGAAAUCUUGUACUGCUGAAGCGGUCGUCUCUUUCUGAUGUGCAACGUUUUCUUCCGGAUCCACUUUUUCGGGUAUAGCCACCAGUCUCACGGAACCGUUGGUAUACUCGUCGAACUGAGAAUCGGCUAAGGUUCAACUGUCGAGUAACGUCAACCUUUCGCAGUCCUUGUCGGCUUCUUCAGGGGUUGUAUCCAUCUUCAGGUAUUGUUUUUUUUGAGUAUGUUGUUCCGGUGUGUUCACUCUAAGGGCUUAGGUAGUGACUGACUCAUUUUUUACCUGGGCAUGACCUUUUAUAACCUUUUAGGGUAGCUAAACUAGUGCUCCUUAAGUGAGCAUUUAUUCCAACAUCUUAUUGAUUGGUCCCGGUUAGAAAUAGUAAUUGGUUUUUUAAUGAUACAGGUAAUUAAUGUAAAGAUAUUGAAGUGCACUUUACGAUGAUAUAUUUUUUUCACACCUGGUAUUUAUGUGCUAGAUUCUAGGAGCGAUUUACUGGAAAAAACAUAAGGGUGCGAUUUUUAUGACGCCGAGUGUAUAUUUCUGACGUUGCUAACACGAACCUUUGCAAGAGCCGUGCUUCGCAGAAUCUACCACCGGAUCGGAAACGCGACCCACUUAGAAGAUCCGGCGAGAAACUCAGUGGGCUGUGUCUGAGGGUUCAUUUACUCGUCGAGCCCUUCGUCGCAAGCGACGGGUUCGACGAGAACGGUGACCGGUGCUUGAGGUACCUAAAAGCACCGUUAGUGGAUCGGGAGGAUCCGAAAUGACGUGUUUGGGGCGACGUCGACUGCUUUCCAUUCUGUCCGCAGGAUCGAGAAUGAGCAGUUGCAGUUUCGCCUGUUGACAUGACAUUUGACCCCAUCUGCGGAUCCAAGAUUUGGACAAUCAACAGACCGGGCGAGAAUGAGACCUAGGUCUAGAAAAAUCUUAUUUUCUCUAAAUCUAAUUGGAAUUGUGUAUAAUUCCAAUUAGAUUUAACAAGAAGAUCUAUUUCUUCAUGUAAUUUCUUAAAGUACACUUGAGAGUUCUAUUGUAAAUAAUAUGGGGUACUCAGAUUCAACUUUUAUUAUCGAAUAAAAAAAAAUUAAAACGCUUGCUGGAUGUAAUAUUAUAUAUUUAUUAAAGAAACUAACGUAUAUGAUAAAAUAAAAUGUCCACAUGUUCCAGUACAUUUUUUGGCAAACAUGCUAGUAAUUAUUUUAUAUGGUGCUUUUUAUGGUUAUUUUAUAUUAUAUAUUGGUAGUGUACAGAGAUGAAAAUACAGUUGUCGACGAGCUGUUGGAGUGCGGUCCGGACUUCUGAAAAAUAAAAUAACGUAUAAAAAUAUGUUUCAUAAAUACUUAACAUAGGCCGCCCGGUGGCCGAGGUGCUUGCCCUGCUACUGCUAUAAUAAGUGUCUAUAAAAAAAUUGAUUUAAGAAAUGAAUGAGAACAAAAUAAAAUAAAAAAAUCAAGUAAGGCGCAUCUAUCUCAAAAUUCUAGUUUUUCUUUGAUUUCGAACUAAGCAAUAAUUAUUGAAUAUAAAUUUAAUGGCUGAAAAA
Long non-coding RNA from Bombyx mori (domestic silkworm), 1609 nucleotides. RefSeq lists it as uncharacterized. The record is from RefSeq and is a predicted model, not a curated record. NCBI's taxonomy places the organism in Eukaryota, Metazoa, Arthropoda, Insecta, Lepidoptera, Bombycidae. The transcript has 2 exons.